UACGUAGGGUGCGAGCGUUAAUCGGAAUUACUGGGCGUAAAGCGUGCGCAGGCGGUUUUGUAAGCCAGAUGUGAAAUCCCCGGGCUUAACCUGGGAAUGGCAUUUGGGACUGCAAGGCUGGAGUACGGUAGAGGGGGAUGGAAUUCCGCGUGUAGCAGUGAAAUGCGUAGAUAUGCGGAGGAACACCGAUGGCGAAGGCAAUCCCCUGGACCUGUACUGACGCUCAUGCACGAAAGCGUGGGGAGCAAACAGG
RNAcentral lists this ribosomal RNA (253 nucleotides) under uncultured bacterium. RNAcentral describes it as "partial 16S ribosomal RNA". It matches the Rfam family "Bacterial small subunit ribosomal RNA", at positions 524 to 776 of the family's 1533-position model. The record is from RNAcentral.